UGUUUUUUCUCUUGUUUUGUU
This 21-nucleotide small RNA is filed under the name Arabidopsis thaliana (thale cress). RNAcentral's name for it is "ATSL139660". Lineage: Eukaryota; Viridiplantae; Streptophyta; Magnoliopsida; Brassicales; Brassicaceae. The record is from RNAcentral.